Small nuclear RNA from Pipistrellus kuhlii (Kuhl's pipistrelle), 183 nucleotides. RefSeq annotates it as U2 spliceosomal RNA. The record is from RefSeq and is a predicted model, not a curated record. The transcript has a single exon. NCBI's taxonomy places the organism in Eukaryota, Metazoa, Chordata, Mammalia, Chiroptera, Vespertilionidae.
UGAGCUUCUUGGCCUUUUGAUUGAGAUCGCGUAGUAUCUGUUCUUAUCUGUUUAAUAUCUGAUAUGUCCUCUGAGGACAAUAUAUUAAAUGUAUUUUUGGAGCAGGGAUAUGGAAUGAGUUUGCUUCAUCCACUCGAUGCAUUGACCUGGUAUUGCAGUACUUCUGGGUGCACUCAAAAACCC